Molecule: unclassified non-coding RNA, 317 nt
Filed under: Hevea brasiliensis (rubber tree)
Lineage: Eukaryota; Viridiplantae; Streptophyta; Magnoliopsida; Malpighiales; Euphorbiaceae
Source: RNAcentral
UGUUUCCGGCCACAAAACCACCAGUAUCACCACCCUUUUCCAGACCCCAAUCCACCUUAUCACCACCCUCUAAACCCCUUUUAACCACACUAACCGCCACAGCAAUAGCCACCACAAUACUAACGACCUCUCUCCCUUCUUUAGCAGAUUCCCCCUCCAGCUUCAACAUUUACUACGGUACAGCUGCUAGCGCCGCCAAUUACGGCGGCUACGGAGGAAAUUCCGAUAAGAAGGCGUCGGCUGAGUAUAUUUACGACGUCCCCGAUGGGUGGAAAGAGCGUCUGGUGUCGAAAGUUGAAAAGGGCACAAAUGGAACA